CGGGGCGAACGGGUGAGUAACGCGUGAGGACCUGCCUCAAAGAGGGGGACAACAGUUGGAAACGACUGCUAAUACCGCAUAAGUCGGCAUCGAAAAAGGAGCAAUCCGCUUUGAGAUGGCCUCGCGUCCGAUUAGCUAGUUGGUGAGGUAACGGCCCACCAAGGCGACGAUCGGUAGCCGGACUGAGAGGUUGAACGGCCACAUUGGGACUGAGACACGGCCCAGACUCCUACGGGAGGCAGCAGUGGGGAAUUUUGGACAAUGGGGGCAACCCUGAUCCAGCCAUGCCGCGUGCAGGAUGAAGGCCUUCGGGUUGUAAACUGCUUUUGUCAGGGACGAAAAGGACCGUGUUAAUACCGUGGUCUGCUGACGGUACCUGAAGAAUAAGCACCGGCUAACUACGUGCCAGCAGCCGCGGUAAUACGUAGGGUGCAAGCGUUAAUCGGAAUUACUGGGCGUAAAGCGUGCGCAGGCGGUUCUGUAAGACAGAUGUGAAAUCCCCGGGCUCAACCUGGGAAUUGCAUUUGUGACUGCAGGACUAGAGUUCAU
This 549-nucleotide ribosomal RNA is filed under the name uncultured bacterium. RNAcentral's name for it is "bacterial SSU rRNA". It matches the Rfam family "Bacterial small subunit ribosomal RNA", at positions 94 to 651 of the family's 1533-position model. The record is from RNAcentral.